Trifolium pratense (red clover) is the source of this 360-nucleotide long non-coding RNA. RefSeq lists it as uncharacterized. The transcript has 2 exons. The record is from RefSeq and is a predicted model, not a curated record. NCBI's taxonomy places the organism in Eukaryota, Viridiplantae, Streptophyta, Magnoliopsida, Fabales, Fabaceae.
AUAACAAAAACAAACACACAAAAAAUAGUGUUAGUGAGUGAGAGAAGAGAAAGAGCUCGUGGGAGAGUGAAGAGAAGCAAGGGAAGGAAGAGUUUAACCUCAAUAUAGGGAAUUCACUGCACUCCAAAUUUUCAGGUAGGAGACGAAUCAUAGAUGGUGUGUUCGGAUAGCUGUUGCUUUGCUAUUUAUUUGGAGUCGCUCUGUUAGGAUGUUGUUGGGAGAAACCUUUAUUUAAUUAUGUUGUUAAAUUUUUAUAACAAUUGAGUUAUGUCACUUGAUUCAGUAUUUUCAAUUCGGACUUUGAAACUUAUAUUAUUUUUGUAUUUUCCGCUGCAUGAUUUUUAAUCAUUUGAGGAAUUA